This is an RNA transcript of Raphanus sativus (radish), 1744 nucleotides long. It is a transcript of the gene named threonine synthase 1, chloroplastic-like, with no coding region annotated. NCBI's taxonomy places the organism in Eukaryota, Viridiplantae, Streptophyta, Magnoliopsida, Brassicales, Brassicaceae. The record is from RefSeq and is a predicted model, not a curated record. The transcript has a single exon.
AGAGUAUUUAUCUGAAAAUUGUCGUCUCUCUCUCCCUCUCUCUCUCCCGUGUGUGUGUCCACAAAAUCUUCCGCCGCAUCUCACUUGUCUCUCUAUCUCUAAAAUGGCUUCCACUUCUCUCCUCAACGCCUCUCUGUCUUCUCUCAGCCCUAAUCAUGACCUCAUCCGCCGCCACCCCUCCUCCCCUCUCCUCCGCUACCGCCCCGUCCUCGUCUCAUGCACCUCCUCCGCCGAGGGAAAAAACACCACCACCCCGAUCGAAACAGUCGCCAAGCCUCGCCGUACCGAGAACACCAUCCGCGACGACGCUCGCCUCCAGCGCUCCACCGCCGCGAAUCCGUUCUCCGCCAGAUACGUCCCGUUCAACGCUCCCCCGGAUCCACCGAGCACUACUCCCUCGACGAGAUCGUCUACCGCAGCCGCUCGGGAGGUCUCCUCGACGUCGAGCACGACAUGGAGGCUCUGAAGCGGUUCGACGGCGCGUACUGGCGAGAUCUCUUCGACUCGCGAGUCGGCAAGAGCUCGUGGCCUUACGGAUCGGGCGUGUGGUCUAAGAAAGAGUGGGUGCUCCCGGAGAUCGACGACGACGACAUCGUCUCGGCCUUCGAAGGGAACUCCAACCUCUUCUGGGCGGAGAGGUUCGGGAAGAAGUUUCUAGGGAUGAACGAUCUCUGGGUGAAACACUGUGGGAUUAGCCAUACCGGAAGUUUCAAGGAUCUCGGUAUGACCGUUUUGGUUAGCCAAGUUAACCGGUUAAGAAAAAUGAAACGUCCUGUUGUCGGCGUUGGUUGCGCUUCCACUGGUGACACAUCAGCAGCUCUAUAUCCGCUUACUGCGCCUCCGCGGGGAUCCCUUCGAUCGUCUUCUUGCCUGCGAACAAGAUCUCGAUGGCUCAGCUUGUUCAGCCGAUAGCCAACGGUGCGUUUGUUCUGAGCAUCGACACUGAUUUCGAUGGCUGUAUGAAGCUUAUCAGAGAGAUAACCGCUGAGUUACCUAUUUACUUGGCGAACUCGUUGAAUAGUUUGAGGUUAGAAGGGCAGAAGACUGCGGCGAUUGAGAUUCUUCAGCAGUUUGAUUGGCAAGUUCCUGAUUGGGUGAUUGUUCCCGGUGGCAAUCUCGGUAACAUCUACGCUUUCUACAAAGGUUUCAAGAUGUGUCAAGAGCUUGGACUCGUGGACAGGAUCCCGAGGAUGGUUUGUGCUCAGGCGGCUAAUGCGAAUCCUCUUUACUUGCAUUACAAGUCUGGCUGGAAGGACUUCAAGCCCAUGACCGCGAGUACCACUUUCGCCUCUGCGAUUCAGAUCGGUGACCCUGUGUCCAUCGAUAGAGCUGUGUACGCUCUCAAGAAGUGUGACGGGAUUGUGGAGGAAGCGACUGAGGAGGAGCUGAUGGAUGCGAUGGCUCAGGCGGAUUCUACUGGGAUGUUUAUCUGUCCUCAUACGGGUGUGGCUUUGACUGCUUUGUUUAAGCUGAGGAACAGAGGAGUGAUUGCGCCGACUGAUAGGACUGUGGUUGUGAGUACUGCUCAUGGGUUGAAGUUUACUCAGUCGAAGAUUGAUUAUCACUCCAAGGCCAUCCCUGACAUGGAGUGCAGAUUCUCCAAUCCUCCUGUUGAAGUGAAAGCUGAUUUUGGAGCUGUUAUGGAUGUUCUCAAGAGUUACUUAGGAAGCCAGACACUUAGGUCAUAAGAAACAGACCAUCUUCUUUCGUUUUGUUUUUUUUUGUUUUUGAAAGCUGUUAGUUG